UACAGAAGUCUCAAGCGUUGUUCGGAUUCAUUGGGCGUAAAGGGUGCGUAGGCGGCGCGGUAAGUCGGGUGUGAAAUCUCGGAGCUUAACUCCGAAACUGCAUUCGAUACUGCCGUGCUUGAGGACUGGAGAGGAGACUGGAAUUUACGGUGUAGCGGUGAAAUGCGUAGAUAUCGUAAGGAAGACCAGUGGCGAAGGCGGGUCUCUGGACAGUUCCUGACGCUGAGGCACGAAGGUCAGGGGAGCAAACGGG
Molecule: ribosomal RNA, 253 nt
Filed under: uncultured bacterium
Lineage: Bacteria
Description: partial 16S ribosomal RNA
Rfam family: Bacterial small subunit ribosomal RNA
Source: RNAcentral